UGGGGAAUAUUGGACAAUGGGCGCAAGCCUGAUCCAGCCAUACCGCGUGGGUGAAGAAGGCCUUCGGGUUGUAAAGCCCUUUUGUUGGGAAAGAAAUCCUAUCGGUUAAUAACCGGUGGGGAUGACGGUACCCAAAGAAUAAGCACCGGCUAACUUCGUGCCAGCAGCCGCGGUAAUACGAAGGGUGCAAGCGUUACUCGGAAUUACUGGGCGUAAAGCGUGCGUAGGUGGUGGUUUAAGUCUGCUGUGAAAGCCCUGGGCUCAACCUGGGAAUUGCAGUGGAUACUGGAUUACUAGAGUGUGGUAGAGGGAUGCGGAAUUUCUGGUGUAGCAGUGAAAUGCGUAGAGAUCAGAAGGAACAUCCGUGGCGAAGGCGGCAUCCUGGGCCAACACUGACACUGAGGCACGAAAGCGUGGGGAGCAAA
Molecule: ribosomal RNA, 425 nt
Filed under: uncultured bacterium
Lineage: Bacteria
Description: bacterial SSU rRNA
Rfam family: Bacterial small subunit ribosomal RNA
Source: RNAcentral